Molecule: ribosomal RNA, 460 nt
Filed under: uncultured bacterium
Lineage: Bacteria
Description: partial 16S ribosomal RNA
Rfam family: Bacterial small subunit ribosomal RNA
Source: RNAcentral
CCUACGGGCGGCAGCAGUGAGGAAUAUUGGUCAAUGGACGCAAGUCUGAACCAGCCAUGCCGCGUGCAGGAAGACGGCUCUAUGAGUUGUAAACUGCUUUUGUACGAGGGUAAACGCAGACACGUGUACCUGUCUGCAUGUACUGUAUGAAUAAGGAUCGGCUAACUCCGUGCCAGCAGCCGCGGUAAUACGGAGGAUUCAAGCGUUAUCCGGAUUUAUUGGGUUUAAAGGGUGCGUAGGCGGGCGGUUAAGUUAGUUGUGAAAGUUUGAGGCUCAACCUGGGAAUUGCAUUUGAUACUGUUCGGCUUGAGAGUAGUUGAGGUAGGCGGAAUGCGUGGUGUAGCGGUGAAAUGCUUAGAGAUCAUGAAGAACACCGAUUGCGAAGGCAGCUUACUAAACUAUUUCUGACGUUGAGGCACGAAAGCGUGGGGAGCAAACAGGAUUAGAUACCCGUGUAGUC